CAGAAUGGACCGGAAGAAAAUAGAGGCGGGUCUAUACAUGCAGUCGAGCGAAUCUGAGGGAGCUUGCUCCCAAAGAUUAGCGGCGGACGGGUGAGUAACACGUGGGUAACCUGCCUGUAAGAUUGGGAUAACUCCGGGAAACCGGAGCUAAUACCGGAUAAUAAUUUGAACCGCAUGGUUCAAAUUUGAAAGAUGGCUUCGGCUAUCACUUACAGAUGGACCCGCGGCGCAUUAGCUAGUUGGUGAGGUAACGGCUCACCAAGGCAACGAUGCGUAGCCGACCUGAGAGGGUGAUCGGCCACACUGGGACUGAGACACGGCCCAGACUCCUACGGGAGGCAGCAGUAGGGAAUCUUCCGCAAUGGACGAAAGUCUGACGGAGCAACGCCGCGUGAACGAUGAAGGCCUUCGGGUCGUAAAGUUCUGUUGUUAGGGAAGAACAAGUGCUAGAGUAACUGCUAGCACCUUGACGGUACCUAACCAGAAAGCCACGGCUAACUACGUGCCAGCAGCCGCGGUAAUACGUAGGUGGCAAGCGUUGUCCGGAAUUAUUGGGCGUAAAGCGCGCGCAGGCGGUUUCUUAAGUCUGAUGUGAAAGCCCACGGCUCAACCGUGGAGGGUCAUUGGAAACUGGGGAACUUGAGUGCAGAAGAGGAGAGUGGAAAUUCCACGUGUAGCGGUGAAAUGCGUAGAGAUGUGGAGGAACACCAGUGGGCGAAGCGACUCUCUGGUCUGUAACUGACGCUGAGCGCGAAAGCGGUGGGGGAGCGAACAGGAUUAGAUACCCUGGUAGUCCACGCCGUAACGAUGAGUGCUAAGUGUUAGAGGGUUUCCGCCCCUUUAGUGCUGCAGCAAACGCAUUAAGCACUCCGCCUGGGGGGAGUACGGUCGCAGACUGAAACUCAAAGGAAUUGACGGGGCCCGCCACAAGCGGGUGGGAGCAUGUGAUAGUCGAGCACCGCGGAGCAUCUACAGUCCUGACAUUCGUCGCUACUCCAGAGAAAUGAACGUCCCCUCGGGGACGAUGACGUGAGUCAUGGUGCGUCCAGCUCGGUCUGGAAGUUGGUAGUCCGCGACGAGGCCAACCUUGAAC
RNAcentral lists this ribosomal RNA (1093 nucleotides) under Bacillus sp. (in: firmicutes). RNAcentral describes it as "bacterial SSU rRNA". It matches the Rfam family "Bacterial small subunit ribosomal RNA", at positions 1 to 1109 of the family's 1533-position model. Lineage: Bacteria; Bacillati; Bacillota; Bacilli; Caryophanales; Bacillaceae. The record is from RNAcentral.